RNAcentral lists this transfer RNA (72 nucleotides) under Bos taurus (domestic cattle). It matches the Rfam family "tRNA". Rfam says of the family: Transfer RNA (tRNA) molecules are approximately 80 nucleotides in length. Their secondary structure includes four short double-helical elements and three loops (D, anti-codon, and T loops). The record is from Rfam by way of RNAcentral. Lineage: Eukaryota; Metazoa; Chordata; Mammalia; Artiodactyla; Bovidae.
UCCCUGGUGGCUCAGAGGGUAGAGCGUCUGCCUGCAAUGCGGGAGACCUGGCUUUGAUCCCUGGCUUGGGAA